Hyla sarda is the source of this 378-nucleotide non-coding RNA. Lineage: Eukaryota; Metazoa; Chordata; Amphibia; Anura; Hylidae. The record is from the annotation of a RefSeq genome assembly.
AUGAAGACUUUCCUGCUCCUCUUUAUAUCACUGGCCUGCUUGUCAGGUGUCCAGUCUCAGCAACUUGUCCAGUCAUCAGACCCAGUGGUGAUAAAGCCCGGGAAUUCCUAUAGAGCCUCAUGUACGGCUUCUGGAUUCACCUUCAGUAGCUCUAAUAUGUACUGGGUUAGACAGCGUCCUGGCGGAGAAUUACAGUGGGUUGCAUAUAUUGGUAGCGGUGGGGGCGGCACAAGCUAUCAUGAUUCUGUUCAAGGACGAUUCACAAUCUCCAGAAAUAACAAUAAUAACCUGUUAUAUCUACAAAUGACCAACAUGAAGACUGAGGACUCUGCCGUGUAUUACUGUGCAAGACACACACUAAUAGAAUACAAUGUCUGA